Molecule: ribosomal RNA, 482 nt
Filed under: uncultured bacterium
Lineage: Bacteria
Description: partial 16S ribosomal RNA
Rfam family: Bacterial small subunit ribosomal RNA
Source: RNAcentral
GACGAACGCUGGCGGCGUGCUUAACACAUGCAAGUCGAACGAUGAAGAAGAGCUUGCUCUUCGGAUUAGUGGCGAACGGGUGAGUAACACGUGACUAACCUGCCCCUUUCUCUGGGAUAACGCUCCGAAAGGAGUGCUAAUACCGGAUACUCACAUCGAGGCACAUGCCUUGAUGUGGAAAGUUUUUCGGAAAGGGAUGGAGUCGCGGCCUAUCAGCUUGUUGGUGAGGUAACGGCUCACCAAGGCGACGACGGGUAGCCGGCCUGAGAGGGCGACCGGCCACACUGGGACUGAGACACGGCCCAGACUCCUACGGGAGGCAGCAGUGGGGAAUAUUGCACAAUGGGCGAAAGCCUGAUGCAGCGACGCCGCGUGAGGGAUGAAGGUCUUCGGAUUGUAAACCUCUUUCAGUAGGGACGAAGCGAAAGUGACGGUACCUAAAGAAGAAGCACCGGCUAACUACGUGCCAGCCGCCGCGGUAA